UGCGCAGGCGGUUAUAUAAGACAGAUGUGAAAUCCCCGGGCUCAACCUGGGACCUGCAUUUGUGACUGUAUAGCUAGAGUACGGUAGAGGGGGAUGGAAUUCCGCGUGUAGCAGUGAAAUGCGUAGAUAUGCGGAGGAACACCGAUGGCGAAGGCAAUCCCCUGGACCUGUACUGACGCUCAUGCACGAAAGCGUGGGGAGCAAACAGGAUUAGAUACCCUGGUAGUCCACGCCCUAAACGAUGUCAACUGGUUGUUGGGUCUUCACUGACUCAGUAACGAAGCUAACGCGUGAAGUUGACCGCCUGGGAGUACGGCCGCAAGGUUGAA
RNAcentral lists this ribosomal RNA (329 nucleotides) under uncultured bacterium. Its description in RNAcentral is "bacterial SSU rRNA". It matches the Rfam family "Bacterial small subunit ribosomal RNA", at positions 568 to 898 of the family's 1533-position model. The record is from RNAcentral.